RNAcentral lists this ribosomal RNA (458 nucleotides) under uncultured bacterium. RNAcentral's name for it is "partial 16S ribosomal RNA". It matches the Rfam family "Bacterial small subunit ribosomal RNA", at positions 338 to 795 of the family's 1533-position model. The record is from RNAcentral.
CCUACGGGUGGCAGCAGUAGGGAAUAUUGCACAAUGGGCGCAAGCCUGAUGCAGCGAUGCCGCGUGCGGGAUGGAGGCCUUCGGGUUGUAAACUGCUUUCGUUCAAGGGCAAGGCACGGUCUUUGGCCGUGUUGAGUGGAUUGUUCGAAUAAGCACCGGCUAACUACGUGCCAGGGGCCGCCGGCAUACGUAGGGUGCAAGCGUUAUCCGGAUUAAUUGGUCCUAAAGGGCUCGUAGGCGGUUCGUCGCGUCCGGUGUGAAAGCCCAGCGCUUAACGGUGGAACCGCGCCGGGUAAUGGCGGGCUUGAGUGCUGUAGGGGGGACUAGAAUUCCCGGUGUAGCGGUGGAAUGUGUAGAUAUCGGGAGGAACACCAAUGGCGAAGGCAGGUCUCUGGGCCGUUACUGACGCUGAGGAGCGAAAGCGUGGGGAGCGAACAGGAUUAGAUACCCUAGUAGUC